GUGCUCACUUUGGCAGCAUGUAUACUAAAGUUGAGACAAUACAGAGAGGAUAAGCAUGGCCUCUGCAUAAGGAUGACACACAAAUUCAUGAAGCAUUCCAUAUUUUA
This 107-nucleotide small nuclear RNA is filed under the name Salvator merianae (Argentine black and white tegu). Lineage: Eukaryota; Metazoa; Chordata; Lepidosauria; Squamata; Teiidae. The record is from RNAcentral.